This 253-nucleotide ribosomal RNA is filed under the name uncultured bacterium. RNAcentral's name for it is "partial 16S ribosomal RNA". It matches the Rfam family "Bacterial small subunit ribosomal RNA", at positions 524 to 776 of the family's 1533-position model. The record is from RNAcentral.
GACAGAGGGUGCAAGCGUUGUUCGGAAUUACUGGGCGUAAAGCGCAUGUAGGCGGCCAAGCAGGUCGGAUGUGAAAUCCCUCGGCUCAACCAAGGAAGUGCAUUCGAAACCGCAUGGCUCGAGUCCCGGAGAGGAAGGUGGAAUUCUCGGUGUAGAGGUGAAAUUCGUAGAUAUCGAGAGGAACACCGGUGGCGAAAGCGGCCUGCUGGACGAGGACUGACGCUGAGAUGCGAAAGCGUGGGGAGCAAACAGG